This 565-nucleotide ribosomal RNA is filed under the name Ophiocordyceps sinensis. RNAcentral's name for it is "SSU rRNA". It matches the Rfam family "Eukaryotic small subunit ribosomal RNA", at positions 578 to 1152 of the family's 1831-position model. Lineage: Eukaryota; Fungi; Ascomycota; Sordariomycetes; Hypocreales; Ophiocordycipitaceae. The record is from RNAcentral.
GGUAAUUCCAGCUCCAAUAGCGUAUAUUAAAGUUGUUGUGGUUAAAAAGCUCGUAGUUGAACCUUGGGCCUGGCUGGCCGGUCCGCCUCACCGCGUGUACUGGUCCGGCCGGGCCUUUCCCUCUGUGGAACCCCAUGCCCUUCACUGGGCGUGGCGGGGAAACAGGACUUUUACUUUGAAAAAAUUAGAGUGCUCCAGGCAGGCCUAUGCUCGAAUACAUUAGCAUGGAAUAAUGAAAUAGGACGCGCGGUUCUAUUUUGUUGGUUUCUAGGACCGCCGUAAUGAUUAAUAGGGACAGUCGGGGGCAUCAGUAUUCAAUGGUCAGAGGUGAAAUUCUUGGAUCCAUUGAAGACUAACUACUGCGAAAGCAUUUGUCAAGGAUGUUUUCAUUAAUCAGGAACGAAAGUUAGGGGAUCGAAGACGAUCAGAUACCGUCGUAGUCUUAACCAUAAACUAUGCCGACUAGGGAUCGGACGAUGUUAUUUUUUGACUCGUUCGGCACCUUACGAGAAAUCAAAGUGCUUGGGCUCCAGGGGGAGUAUGGUCGCAGGCUGAACUUAAGGAA